The sequence is a ribosomal RNA, 467 nucleotides long. It matches the Rfam family "Bacterial small subunit ribosomal RNA", at positions 147 to 628 of the family's 1533-position model.
GCCUGGGAAACUGGGUCUAAUACCGGAUAGGAGCGCCCACCGCAUGGUGGGUGUUGGAAAGAUUUAUCGGUUUUGGAUGGACUCGCGGCCUAUCAGCUUGUUGGUGAGGUAAUGGCUCACCAAGGCGACGACGGGUAGCCGGCCUGAGAGGGUGACCGGCCACACUGGGACUGAGACACGGCCCAGACUCCUACGGGAGGCAGCAGUGGGGAAUAUUGCACAAUGGGCGAAAGCCUGAUGCAGCGACGCCGCGUGAGGGAUGACGGCCUUCGGGUUGUAAACCUCUUUCAGUAGGGAAGAAGCGAAAGUGACGGUACCUGCAGAAGAAGCACCGGCUAACUACGUGCCAGCAGCCGCGGUAAUACGUAGGGUGCGAGCGUUAUCCGGAAUUAUUGGGCGUAAAGAGCUCGUAGGCGGUUUGUCGCGUCUGUCGUGAAAGUCCGGGGCUUAACCCCGGAUCUGCGGUG